Long non-coding RNA from Rana temporaria (common frog), 463 nucleotides. RefSeq lists it as uncharacterized. The transcript is spliced from 4 exons. The record is from RefSeq and is a predicted model, not a curated record. NCBI's taxonomy places the organism in Eukaryota, Metazoa, Chordata, Amphibia, Anura, Ranidae.
UAUAUAAGUUCUCUAAGAUUGCCAGUCUAACAAUAUUCUCCUCUAAGUGGCAGUUUUAGGCUUUCCAUUAUGUCUAGUAACAAUUAUCCAGGAUGGAACAAUGGUGGUCAUCAUUCCCCAGGAUGGAACAAUGGAUGGAACAAUGGUGGUCAUAACCCAGGAUGGAACAAUGGUGGUCAUUACCCAGGACCACAUUAUCCUGGACAUCCACAGCCAUAUCCAAAUCCACAUCACUAUCCACCUCAUCACUAUAAUCCCUCCGGAGGACAUGGGUAUCCUCCUUUUUAUUACAAUCAUGGAGGCCAUUAGCAGCCUGAGGUGGAAAGUGGAUUUACAAGAAAUAAGAAAAUUUACAGAAAGGCUGUUUGCAAUUGAUUUUACGCAAAAUGUUAAAUACAUUAAUCUUAUGUCCGCUUCCUAGGUGCUUUUUUAGGCAUAGAAAAUAAAAGCUCUUUAGACCAAA